RNAcentral lists this ribosomal RNA (1372 nucleotides) under uncultured bacterium. RNAcentral's name for it is "bacterial SSU rRNA". It matches the Rfam family "Bacterial small subunit ribosomal RNA", at positions 28 to 1381 of the family's 1533-position model. The record is from RNAcentral.
GAUGAACGCUGGCGGCGUGCCUAAUACAUGCAAGUCGAGCGAACGGACGAGAAGCUUGCUUCUCUGAUGUUAGCGGCGGACGGGUGGGUAACACGUGGAUAACCUACCUAUAAGACUGGGAUAACUUCGGGAAACCGGAGCUAAUACCGGAUGAUAUUUUGAACCGCAUGGUUCAAAAGUGAAAGACGGUCUUGCUGUCACUUAUAGAUGGAUCCGCGCUGCAUUAGCUAGUUGGUAAGGUAACGGCUUACCAAGGCAACGAUGCAUAGCCGACCUGAGAGGGUGAUCGGCCACACUGGAACUGAGACACGGUCCAGACUCCUACGGGAGGCAGCAGUAGGGAAUCUUCCGCAAUGGGCGAAAGCCUGACGGAGCAACGCCGCGUGAGUGAUGAAGGUCUUCGGAUCGUAAAACUCUGUUAUUAGGGAAGAACAUAUGUGUAAGUAACUGUGCACAUCUUGACGGUACCUAAUCAGAAAGCCACGGCUAACUACGUGCCAGCAGCCGCGGUAAUACGUAGGUGGCAAGCGUUAUCCGGAAUUAUUGGGCGUAAAGCGCGCGUAGGCGGUUUUUUAAGUCUGAUGUGAAAGCCCACGGCUCAACCGUGGAGGGUCAUUGGAAACUGGAAAACUUGAGUGCAGAAGAGGAAAGUGGAAUUCCAUGUGUAGCGGUGAAAUGCGCAGAGAUAUGGAGGAACACCAGUGGCGAAGGCGACUUUCUGGUCUGUAACUGACGCUGAUGUGCGAAAGCGUGGGGAUCAAACAGGAUUAGAUACCCUGGUAGUCCACGCCGUAAACGAUGAGUGCUAAGUGUUAGGGGGUUUCCGCCCCUUAGUGCUGCAGCUAACGCAUUAAGCACUCCGCCUGGGGAGUACGACCGCAAGGUUGAAACUCAAAGGAAUUGACGGGGACCCGCGCAAGCGGUGGAGCAUGUGGUUUAAUUCGAAGCAACGCGAAGAACCUUACCAAAUCUUGACAUCCUUUGACAACUCUAGAGAUAGAGCCUUCCCCUUCGGGGGACAAAGUGACAGGUGGUGCAUGGUUGUCGUCAGCUCGUGUCGUGAGAUGUUGGGUUAAGUCCCGCAACGAGCGCAACCCUUAAGCUUAGUUGCCAUCAUUAAGUUGGGCACUCUAAGUUGACUGCCGGUGACAAACCGGAGGAAGGUGGGGAUGACGUCAAAUCAUCAUGCCCCUUAUGAUUUGGGCUACACACGUGCUACAAUGGACAAUACAAAGGGCAGCGAAACCGCGAGGUCAAGCAAAUCCCAUAAAGUUGUUCUCAGUUCGGAUUGUAGUCUGCAACUCGACUACAUGAAGCUGGAAUCGCUAGUAAUCGUAGAUCAGCAUGCUACGGUGAAUACGUUCCCGGGUCU